Molecule: long non-coding RNA, 723 nt
Filed under: Olea europaea subsp. europaea
Lineage: Eukaryota; Viridiplantae; Streptophyta; Magnoliopsida; Lamiales; Oleaceae
Rfam family: small nucleolar RNA snoR116 (bases 247-328)
Source: RNAcentral
CUGUAUUGUGGCUAAAUUAGGGUUGGUACACGGAAUCGAUUACACAGAGCCACACGAUCACGCAUCUAAACAUAUAGUAGCAUGUUCUUAUCGAAAAUCAAUAUAUUGAGGCCAAUGAUGCAUAAAAAUUGUCCGUACCAUCUGAGGAUCUUUACUAAGUCUCCUUUGAUGUGAAUUCGCCUGUAUUUUCUGAGGUCUCUCGCUUCAAUUUUUAUUUUAUUUUAAUAUUUGGUAUUGUUCUGAAAAAGGCAGUGAUGAUGAAAAUUAUACCAUCAAACUAUGAAAGCUCUUGAGCUUGUUGAUGCUAAAUUCAUUAAUCUCUGAGCCUUCGUUGAAUUUUUGUUCCUUUUUUUUUGUUAAUUUUCUCGGUGUAUUUGUUUGUCAUCAAUUAAGGCAACAAAUUAGAGUCACUGAUGCACUACAUUUUUAAUGGUGUUUUCAGCGCUGUACGUUGCCGAUAACAAUUAGGUUCUGAGAUUCUGGCAUUUGCUUCUUUUAUUGAGCUUGUGCAUUCAGAUGUGCCCACAUUUUGGUAUUGAAGAUGAUGAAUUUGAGAUGGGGUGGAAUUUAAUUUAAAAUUUAAAAUGAUAUUCUGAAAUUGUUAUUAUUUUUUGGUAUUUCGAGAUUGAAAUAUGAAGCCAAAUGGUGAAAUUGGAAAAAAAAAAAUGCUUUGUUCUCUGUUCCGAUUUGAAUUAGCUAAAUAGUUAAGAGCUUAUUUAGGAA